AUGAUUUGUCUGGUUAAUUCCGAUAACCAACGAAAUAAAAACCUGCUAAUUAGCGGUAAAUACAACAUAUUCUUAAGUAAAUAAGAAUAUAAAUAAAAUAACAAAUAAGAGAAUAUAUUAAGAUGUUAUUAUAAAUUAUGUCUUCUCCCCUGUCCUUCUUGUAUAGUGUUCUUAUUCUAUUUCUUUUCUUACGUAAGAAUGUAUUUACUUGAUUGUAAAGCUUCUUAGAGGGACAUUGUGUGUCUAACACAAGGAAGUUUAAGGCAACAACAGGUCUGUGAUGUCCUUAGAUGAAUUAGGCUGCACGCGUGCUACACUGAUAUAUAUAACGAGUUAUUAAAAGUAUAUCUUUGUAUAUAUGUAUUCUGUAUAUAUAUACAAAAGGUAUAAUUUUCCUCCACUGAAAAGUGUAGGUAAUCUUUAUCAAUAUAUAUCGUGAUGGGGAUAGAUUAUUGCAAUUAUUAAUCUUGAACGAGGAAUGCCUAGUAAGCAUGAUUCAUCAGAUUGUGCUGACUACGUCCCUGCCCUUUGUACACACCGCC
Molecule: ribosomal RNA, 542 nt
Filed under: Plasmodium relictum
Lineage: Eukaryota; Apicomplexa; Aconoidasida; Haemosporida; Plasmodiidae
Description: bacterial SSU rRNA
Rfam family: Eukaryotic small subunit ribosomal RNA
Source: RNAcentral